CCACCAUCAACCGCUGCGCUUUUUCGCAGCCGGCUUGGAUCAUUGGGCUUGGUAGGCUCGCUCACGCAUCCCACCAGCCUCAAAGGCAGCAGGUCGUCCGUCUUGGGCGGUUGGACCGAGCGUUGUAGAGUCACCUCGCUCGGGACGCCGGAGCGGUCAGCCCCAAAAACCAGCCAUUCGCUGCUCAAGCGA
RNAcentral lists this unclassified non-coding RNA (192 nucleotides) under uncultured Ascomycota. Its description in RNAcentral is "sequence contains ITS2". Lineage: Eukaryota; Fungi; Ascomycota. The record is from RNAcentral.